AGAGGGUGCGAGCGUUAAUCAGAAUUACUGGGCGUAAAGCGCGCGUAGGCGGAUGUCUAAGUCGGAUGUGAAACUCCCCGGGCUUAACCUGGGAACUGCAUUCGAUACUGGGCGCCUAGAGUACGGUAGAGGGUAGUGGAAUUCCCGGUGUAGCGGUGGAAUGCGUAGAUAUCGGGAAGAACACCAGUGGCGAAGGCGGCUACCUGGACCAGUACUGACGCUGAGGUGCGAAAGCGUGGGGAGCAAACAGGGAUUAGAGACCCUGGUAGUCCACGCCGUAAACGAUGAGAACUAGAUGCUAGGUAGCUUGACUAUUUAGUAUCGUAGCUAACGCGUUAAGUUCUCCGCCUGGGGAUACGGCCGCAAGGCUAA
RNAcentral lists this ribosomal RNA (372 nucleotides) under uncultured organism. Its description in RNAcentral is "partial 16S ribosomal RNA". It matches the Rfam family "Bacterial small subunit ribosomal RNA", at positions 527 to 897 of the family's 1533-position model. The record is from RNAcentral.